ACUCCACAGUGUUUGAGCUUGGAGUUGAGGCCACUGAUCGAUGAACUCACAAGUGCAGGUAGUGUGCUACCUGAGGGGCAAGUCUUUCACUAACACCGCAAGGGUCUCUGGCUCAAUGAGUGGAGUUUGAUAGUAAUUCUUGCUACAAGU
This is a small nucleolar RNA of Leptonychotes weddellii (Weddell seal), 150 nucleotides long. Lineage: Eukaryota; Metazoa; Chordata; Mammalia; Carnivora; Phocidae. The record is from RefSeq and is a predicted model, not a curated record.